Molecule: ribosomal RNA, 116 nt
Filed under: Chaetosphaeria sp.
Lineage: Eukaryota; Fungi; Ascomycota; Sordariomycetes; Chaetosphaeriales; Chaetosphaeriaceae
Description: partial large subunit ribosomal RNA
Source: RNAcentral
GGGAUAAAGGUUUCGGGAAUGUGGCUCCCUCGGGAGUGUUAUAGCCCGGCGUGCCAUGCCCCCGCCCGGACCGAGGUUCGCGCUCCGCAAGGACGCUGGCGUAAUGGUCCCCAGCG